UGCUGCAAGACAGGCUCUGGAUAGCACAACACGGACAACUUUCUCCCUUGUGAUUUUCUGAGAGGAUCUGCUCGUUUGGAUUAUAUUCUUUUAUGACUAUUAAAUACUAUCAUAUAGAAAAUACUCGUGCGUCUUAAUUCUGUGUAACUCCAACAGCUGCGUUGUUUGAUAUUUCAGUAAACUGUGCUGAAGUUUGAAGCCUGUUUGUUAGGGGGUGAAGGACAAGUGCAAUGCGCGUCUCCUGGGAUUGUCCCACUUGCGCCUGAGGAGCCAUGUCGAGCUGCCGCACAGAGCCUGUUCAAGAGGACGCAGUCCAAUGUGAAUAACAAAAGUCAACGUCCAGGCUCUUAAGCUUUUCACAGUUACAAACAAGUGCAGCAACGGAGUCUGACUGAGUCCGCUGAGCAGCUCUGACACCCCGGUUUCUCUCCCCGAGGGGAUGGUUGUGGAUCCUGUGGGGCCAGGAGCGAUUCUGCGGCUCCUACAGAAUUACACAUAUUUCUUGAUUGGGGUUAAAUCUAAAUUAAAGGGAGAUGAGAGCCGCACUUUGCUACUUCCUGCUGUGGACGACGUACCUGCUGCUGGCCACCUCUGAGGAAGUGGAGUUUCCCCAGGAGCUGAUAGACAGGCUGUCCCACAGUGAAAUCCACAGCAUCAGCGACCUCCAGCGGCUACUGGACAUUGACUCCAUAGGUACGGGAAAUGAUGUUAUCAAGGAGCCCAAGCACCACAAACACCACAACCACCAUAAGAACUACUCCCGUAGUCAUGGUUACUACAAUGACCUGAAGACCUCCCAGCUCCACACCCGACGCAAGAGGAGCAUCGUGGAGGAGGCGGUCCCGGCGGUGUGUAAGACGCGGACGGUGAUCUACGAGAUCCCCAGGAGCCAGGUGGAUCCCACAUCUGCCAACUUCUUGAUAUGGCCGCCCUGUGUGGAGGUGAAGCGCUGCACGGGCUGUUGCAACACAAGCAACAUGCGCUGUCAUCCUUCCCGUAAGCACCACCGCACCGUUAAGGUAGCAAAGGUGGAGUACGUGAAGAGGAGGCCCAAGCUGAAAGAGGUCUUUGUGCGUUUGGAAGACCACCUGGAGUGUGUGUGCACGUCACAUCAUCAUGUGGUGGAGCAUUCAGAUGCAGAAAUAGGCCAUCGUAGGGCUAACGGUAAAAAAAGGAAACCUAAAAAGCUAAGGCCCAACAAGGAUUUAUUGGCGACAUAAUAGAGUUGCACUCAUUACCUAAAGUCCACUGGAGAGCUGUGAAGGGAACAGUGGACGUGAGGUGAGACAAAUCAGAACAAGGGACUUCAGCGUGGGAGGGAUCUAAAUAGAGGAUGCUGCCAACAGGAGACCUGCUGUGUCCUCAUUCCCACUGCCAUUCAACCUUCAUUUAAAAAACAGACUUUUCUGUUAGAAGAGAGACUGAAAAUACACAGACAAAAAUAAUUAAAAUGCCAAAAGUGCUUUUUUUUAAAAAAAAAACAGUAACCAGUGAUGAUGACUUCCUCUGUAGCAUGCCACCUAACCAGACAACUGAACCCUGCCGCUGAUUAAGAAAAAAAGAGAAAGAUGCUGUAGAGCUCAGGCAGGGCAGAAAGAGGCCGAAGGGAGAUGAUGAAAGGGAUUUGAGUUGAACUUUUUACAGACUUUGUUUGAACAAGACGGACAACAGAAACGGCUAUGAAACAGUUGGAUCAAGCUUUCGUGGGAAUCUGGUGCUCAGACUCCAAAACAGCAGUGAAUGACCUCCAGCUGGGCAACAUAAAAGUGCCCUGCCCUGUUUGAAUGACUUGCAUACACAGGAAGAAAGAAGGACAGAUAUAGGAAAAACAAUGGAAAGAGAGAGAGACAAAUGGAGGUGUUUUUCUUUCUUCAAAAGACUCUCUAUGGACUACCAAACAUUUUGAGUUUUUGGAUGUUUGCUCUGAGUAAAGAGGAAAUCUUCUCUGACACCCCUGAUGGUCUGUGACUUUGCCCACUUCCAAUGUACAGUUAAAUUUGAGAAGGAAGAUGCGCCGCUACUUACAAACUAUUUAUACGCACAGACAUUUGCUUUCUGUGUCUUACAAUACAAAAGAAAGAACAAAAAAGAUAUCUUAAUGAUUUGGAGACAUGCAAGAGUUCAGUGUGGUCUGGUUCUUUGUAACCAUAAGUAUCACAAUCUCAAUGUCUGUUUUGUUUUUUUAGUCAAUGUUAUUCUUAUCAUCCAUGUUUCUUAUUAUAUUACAGUAUAUCUGAAUUAUGUCAAGUCUUGUAUAUGGUUUGGAUAUAUGUGCGCAAGGAGGAGAUGUGAGAGUCAGUACAGGAAGAUGCUUUAUUUUUGUUAUGAAAUAUAUUAAGCUUACUUAUAUCCAAGCAGGAAUUAUGUUUAUUUCUUUUAUUGUGGUUGAAUGCCUGUAUUUAAUCCAUUGGAAAAGAUGCAAAAAUGUGGGCAGGUUUUGAGAUAGAUGAGGGAGAAAAGGCUGCCAGUGCUUGCUGGCCUGUGUACAUCAAUGCGUCACAGCUGUGAAGAGAGGGGAUAGAGAGGCUCAAACAUGGCAACUUAUCAGUGAGUGGCCUUACUGUAGCUUAUUCUACCGCCAUGAUUACCACUGUCCAAUCCUUAAUGUAAGAAGUGAUAUUUCAUAUAAACAUGCAUACAGCACAUUAAAGUGUGUGCCAAUCAUGCCAAUCACACAAUAUAAUGUUCGAGCACUCUAGUGUGCAUGUAUGCCUGUAUGGGUUGGGAUAGACAGGGUGUGUGUGCUCUCACACAAGAUUUCUCCUCUACAAGAGGCUAUUUUUCACCCAUAUCACUUUAAAAUUGAUAAGGAGGAUGCCGGCCCACUCUGCCUUACAAGCACACAUGUUGUGCCUGCAAAGAGUAAAGUCCACCUUAAAGAGUGAAUGAGCGAGCACAGCAAAUCGACAAGUGUAUGAAUGGGCUCCUUGUUUAGCCAGGCAAUACUCUUUGUUGACAGGAGAACAAAUCACUCCACCUUGGGAAGGUACUCACACCUUAUGCAGCCACAUACCGUCAGGACAGAUGAUGUUGCGUGCUCUGAGGUGGCCUGAAAAACCGUACAGCUGGACUGCACUCGUGCCCCGAUGGAACAAACAUCCCCACCAGUUUCUGUAACAGUAAUGAACGUGUAACCAGGCCAACACGGUACAAAAGUAGCGGUCGUCUUCCACCCUGUGUUCAAAUGAGGAAAUCACUUUGAGUGAGUCACUGCACUGUGAAGUGAGUCAGGUGAAAGUCAAACGAGAAACGUUUGUUGAAACAUGGCUGUAUCGGCUGACUUGUGGACAUCAGAUCACACACAAACACACCCAGCCCACCUGUGAAUGAACUAGCCAUCAGUUGACUGGUGCUAUAUUUAUAAAGCUGAUGUUUCAUCACUGUUCACAUUCACAUUUAUAUCAAUGUAAGAUAGUGUUCUUAGUAAACCAGGGACCACACUUAGAGCUAUUUGAUUAAAAAAAAUGCCAUUACACUAUCACCAAGCCUUCAUUACUUUUCUUUUGGGCUUCCAUUGGAUAAAGACAGCAAUAAUCAUAAUUUAUAUAUUUAUGUUUUCAACAAUAAAUAUAUUUCUGCUUAUGAAAAUGUU
RNA transcript from Micropterus dolomieu (smallmouth bass), 3592 nucleotides. It is a transcript of the gene named platelet-derived growth factor alpha polypeptide b, with no coding region annotated. The transcript has 7 exons. Lineage: Eukaryota; Metazoa; Chordata; Actinopteri; Centrarchiformes; Centrarchidae. The record is from RefSeq and is a predicted model, not a curated record.